This 343-nucleotide unclassified non-coding RNA is filed under the name soil metagenome. RNAcentral describes it as "partial contains 5.8S ribosomal RNA, internal transcribed spacer 2, and large subunit ribosomal RNA". The stretch from base 1 to 120 matches the Rfam family "5.8S ribosomal RNA", at positions 35 to 154 of the family's 154-position model. The record is from RNAcentral.
GAUGAAGAACGUAGCGAAAUGCGAUAAGUAAUGUGAAUUGCAGAAUUCAGUGAAUCAUCGAAUCUUUGAACGCACAUUGCGCCCUCCAGUAUUCUGGCGGGCAUGCCUGUUCGAGCGUCAUUUCAACCCUCAGGCCCCGCCUGGCGUUGGGGAUCGGCGCGGCCCUCUCCGGGCUGCCGGCCCCGAAAACUAGUGGCGGUCUCGCUGUAGUCCUCCUCUGCGCAGUAGCAACGCUCGCACUGGAACUCGGCGCGGCCACGCCGUAAAACACCCCACUUCUGAAAGUUGACCUCGGAUCAGGUAGGAAUACCCGCUGAACUUAAGCAUAUCAAUAAGCGGAGGA